Oryza rufipogon (brownbeard rice) is the source of this 204-nucleotide microRNA precursor. It matches the Rfam family "MIR812 microRNA precursor family". The record is from Rfam. Lineage: Eukaryota; Viridiplantae; Streptophyta; Magnoliopsida; Poales; Poaceae.
AAUAAAUGACGUCGUUGACUUUUUCUCACAUGUUUGACCAUUUGUCUCAUUCAAAAAAUUUAUGUAAUUAUAAUUUAUUUUUUUAGGAGUUGUUUUAUUACUUAUAGUACUUUAAGUGUGAUUUAUAUAUUAUACAUUUGCAUAAAAUUUUUGAAUAAGACGAAUGGUCAAACAUGUGAGAAAAAGUCAAUGGUAUCAUCUAUU